This 738-nucleotide long non-coding RNA is filed under the name Nilaparvata lugens (brown planthopper). RNAcentral's name for it is "uncharacterized LOC120354789". Lineage: Eukaryota; Metazoa; Arthropoda; Insecta; Hemiptera; Delphacidae. The record is from RNAcentral.
CAACUUGAACUUUCCCUAACCUAAAAGCUAAAAGGAAAAGGACGCUUUCAAGUUUCAAACAUAUUUUUAAUCUCAGCUACCAUCCGUCGGAUUUCUUUGGAAACUAACUAUACCAUUCCAUUCCGAAGACUUUUUACUACAAGUAAACAAUGCUUCGCAAAUGAUGAGUCUACGAUUGCAAGCUAGCCAUCGCAAAUGUUCAGACAUACAUAAUAAUCUUGGAACCCGUAUAGAAAACCUACAGGUACUGAUUUUCAAGAUUAUCAAACCUUCACUCUGCAAGAAUUCUGGUAUUUGGAAGAUCUCAUCAGUAAUAUGUCUGCAGAAUGCCAAUCAGAGGUGAAGACCUAUGACCUUAUGGCAACUAUAUGCCAUAAAGGAGAGAGUCCUAAUAGCGGACAUUACAUUUGCUACGAGUUUAUGGACGAACAAAAAAUCUGGUUCGAAUACGACGACGAACGUGUGACCAAGGUCACAGCAGAUAAGGUUGCUUCAUGUGAACUUCAUGCGCUGUAUGUUGUUAAGGUUUGGAGGUGGCCCCGUUUGCCCGCUGCAUUCUUUGGCUGAAUCCGAGAUAUGUGGAAACAAAAUGAAUGACCAGUCAGAAUGUUUACUGUCACUUUGCUAUGGGGCGUCACAAAUCCAUUCAACAAAAGUGGAUCUAAAGAGAUGGAAAACGUGGACUCUGAUUGUGUCCUACAAACGAUCAUAAGACAAAUAAUUCUCGUGGUCUUCAUU